AUGGAAGAGACUGGGAGUAACAUUACAACCAACCAACUUAAAGAAUAUGUAUGGAAGACACUGAAGAGUGGAAAGGUUGUAGUGAUUAGAGAGAAGCUUGCAGAACUGUAUGAAUCUGAACAACAAUGGUUGAGAGCAGCACAAAUGCUUAGUGGCAUUGACUUGGACUCAGGAAUCAGGAUGCUUGAUGACACGAACAAAUUAUCCAAGUGCGUCCAGAUUGCACGACUCUAUUUGGAGGAUGAUGAUGAUGCAGUGAAUGCUGAAGCCUUUAUCAACAAAGCCUCGUUUUGGGUCACAAACAGCAACCAGGAAAUUCUGAACUUACAAUACAAGGUCUGCUAUGCGAGAAUUUUAGAUCUAAAGCGUAAAUUCUUGGAAGCUGCACUUUGA
Molecule: ribosomal RNA, 393 nt
Filed under: Triticum aestivum (bread wheat)
Lineage: Eukaryota; Viridiplantae; Streptophyta; Magnoliopsida; Poales; Poaceae
Description: partial small subunit ribosomal RNA
Source: RNAcentral